CCUACGGGAGGCAGCAGUGGGGAAUCUUAGACAAUGGGGGCAACCCUGAUCUAGCCAUGCCGCGUGAGUGAUGAAGGCCUUAGGGUCGUAAAGCUCUUUCGCCUGUGAUGAUAAUGACAGUAGCAGGUAAAGAAACCCCGGCUAACUCCGUGCCAGCAGCCGCGGUAAUACGGAGGGGGUUAGCGUUGUUCGGAAUUACUGGGCGUAAAGCGCGCGUAGGCGGAUUAGAAAGUUGGGGGUGAAAUCCCGGGGCUCAACCUCGGAACUGCCUCCAAAACUGCUAGUCUAGAGUUCGAGAGAGGUGAGUGGAAUUCCGAGUGUAGAGGUGAAAUUCGUAGAUAUUCGGAGGAACACCAGUGGCGAAGGCGGCUCACUGGCUCGAUACUGACGCUGAGGUGCGAAAGUGUGGGGAGCA
This 415-nucleotide ribosomal RNA is filed under the name uncultured bacterium. Its description in RNAcentral is "bacterial SSU rRNA". It matches the Rfam family "Bacterial small subunit ribosomal RNA", at positions 338 to 770 of the family's 1533-position model. The record is from RNAcentral.